GUUGUAGCUCAGGGGUAUAGCGCUUGCCUAGCAUGUGUGAGACACUGGGUUCAAUACUCGGCACAACA
RNAcentral lists this transfer RNA (68 nucleotides) under Marmota monax (woodchuck). RNAcentral describes it as "tRNA.Ala". Lineage: Eukaryota; Metazoa; Chordata; Mammalia; Rodentia; Sciuridae. The record is from RNAcentral.